GGGCUUACACAAGCGGUGGAGCAUGUGGUUUAAUUCGAAACAACGCGCAGAACCUUACCAAUCCUUGCAAUAUACAGGAAGCAACUGUUAUAAGUUGUCUUUUGGUAUACAGGCGCUGCAUGGCUGUCGUCAGUUCGUGGCGUGAGCUGUUGGGUUAAGUCCUAGAACGAACGCAACCCUCUUAGCAUGUGCAUUUUUAAUGCCUUGUUAAACUGCCAGUGACAUACGGGAAGAAGGAGAGGAUGACGUCAAGUCCGCAUGGCCCUUAUGGGUUGGGCUACACACGUGCUACAAUGGCGAACACAAAGGGAUGCAAGAUGGCAACAUGGAGCAAAUCCUCAACUUUCGUCGUAGUUCAGAUUGUUCUCUGCAACUCGAGAACAUGAAGUUGGAAUCGCUAGUAAUCGUAGAUC
This 413-nucleotide ribosomal RNA is filed under the name uncultured bacterium. RNAcentral describes it as "bacterial SSU rRNA". It matches the Rfam family "Bacterial small subunit ribosomal RNA", at positions 917 to 1350 of the family's 1533-position model. The record is from RNAcentral.